This is a long non-coding RNA of Hippocampus zosterae (dwarf seahorse), 1489 nucleotides long. RefSeq lists it as uncharacterized. The transcript has 2 exons. NCBI's taxonomy places the organism in Eukaryota, Metazoa, Chordata, Actinopteri, Syngnathiformes, Syngnathidae. The record is from RefSeq and is a predicted model, not a curated record.
CAAGUUACUUGCACAGGAUCAUUUUUGCAUCUGAAAUUAUUUACCAAACAGUAUAAGGUAUUAUGAUGCCUACAGAUGUUUCUUACUUCAUGCAUGGAUUGCAAUCUUUUGUCUUUGUCAACGACAUGCUUGAAAUCCACAAGUCCAGACUUCCAAAGUGUGUGUCAAAAUAAAAACAUGAGUUAAAAAAAAAUUCGAAUUCAUUUUUACAUAAGACUCUUGUCUUAUGUAAAAAUGAAUUAGAACUUUCCAGACAGGCAGAACAAUCCCCACAGGCCACAACUGAACCCCCUGUCGGCUGGUCCUGGCGAUUGGGCCAUACAUCUGACACCACUGGACUUGGUUGAUGUUGUCGACUUUACAACUUCGCUUCAGCUGGAAUCUCGUCUUUUGGCAAAAAGACGGAUGCCUCGCUGACAUCAACAUGCUUGUAGAACUAUCUUAUUAAAAAUGGGGCUGGUGGAACAAGCACCUUUGAAAUAUACAAGGCUUUCUCAAAUAGAACUAAACCAUAAGUGCCGUGCACUCCUUCCGUCUGAAAAGGCAUCAGCUAACGCUAGCUGACAAAGGGCUUAAAUCCUCACGUCAGCUAUCUGCAACUUCACCAAACAUUCUCCGACAACAAGAUGAUAUAUUGCAGUAGUUGAUCAGUAACCUCUUUGUAUGUAUGUGUGUGUGUGUGUGUACAAUUAAUGCUGGACACCUAAAGAAAACAUCUCAAUGGGCGUUUCUACCAACCAUCAACUUUCAUCCCACAGCUUGAAGAUGCCGCCCCCAACCCGCUACUCACUCAUUCAAUCACAAUUCACAGAUGCCUUCAAAGUGUCUCACUCAGUCAGAUCUUAUGUGCAUUACUUUUGCAACACUCCACUCAACACAACUGCAGGUUUCCUACAAUACAUUAUCGCAAACAAUUGUGUUUUUCUUACUUGUACAGUAUAGUAAACCACUUCUAUCGUGGAGGGAAGUAAAUUACAGACCCAGUCAGAUCUCCAGAAUUGAGGAAUGUACAAAACAAACCGACCGAGUAGUCAAUCCUCUGAAAACAUAACCCCAGUCUGUUUCUAUACGGUAAUUUAUUUUAAUUUGUCGGAGCGGGGCGGGGUCCAAUUCAGGACUCUUCUAUGAUCUUUGUGGAUUAUUUAGUUAUGUUGAUUUUUAUUAUGCUAAAUGGGGUUUAUAAAUAAUAAAUGGGAACAAGAGUCACCUCAUUGAUCUCCAGGCUGGUCAACACGUGUAAUUAAAUGUAUUCGUGAGUGCCUGCUCAAAGGGGGACAUAACGCCACAGACUGUAGCAGAGGCCCUGGAUGAAUCGAUAGUACGACUAAACGUGCGUGCAAACACACUUGCUGAAUUGCAGCAAUGUUUCCUGGAGCCACAGUGGGUUGGGAUGUGGUGAAAUAAAGUGGCAAGAUUUCAGUGCUCUGUAUAGUAAGGUUCAGCCAGAGCUACCUUAUUAGCACAGCUUUUCACCACAUCUAAUUUGUCU